CCUACGGGGGGCAGCAGUGGGGAAUAUUGGACAAUGGGGGGAACCCUGAUCCAGCCAUGCCGCGUGUGUGAAGAAGGCCCUCGGGUUGUAAAGCACUUUCAGUGAGGAAGAACGCCUGGUGGUUAAUACCCAUCAGGAAAGACAUCACUCACAGAAGAAGCACCGGCUAACUCCGUGCCAGCAGCCGCGGUAAUACGGAGGGUGCGAGCGUUAAUCGGAAUUACUGGGCGUAAAGCGCGCGUAGGUGGCUUGAUAAGCCGGUUGUGAAAGCCCCGGGCUCAACCUGGGAACGGCAUCCGGAACUGUCAAGCUAGAGGGCAGGAGAGGAAGGUAGAAUUCCCGGUGUAGCGGUGAAAUGCGUAGAGAUCGGGAGGAAUACCAGUGGCGAAGGCGGCCUUCUGGACUGACACUGACACUGAGGUGCGAAAGCGUGGGUAGCAAACAGGAUUAGAUACCCUUGUAGUC
This 465-nucleotide ribosomal RNA is filed under the name Vreelandella stevensii. RNAcentral describes it as "partial 16S ribosomal RNA". It matches the Rfam family "Bacterial small subunit ribosomal RNA", at positions 338 to 795 of the family's 1533-position model. The record is from RNAcentral. Lineage: Bacteria; Pseudomonadati; Pseudomonadota; Gammaproteobacteria; Oceanospirillales; Halomonadaceae.